GUUGCUAAUAUCUAAUUUAGAUUAUGGUCUUUUCAGAGAGAGGAGGUGUAUGGACUGAUUCAGAUUUCUUCUGAAGGCAAGCAGUGACAAGGAAGUCAGAAGUUAAGGUAGUGAUAUUCCCAGAUAUUCCUCAAACCAGGGUACAGAGUCUCCUACUGGUGGGAUCAUGGAUUUAUACCUAUCUGAUGGUUUUGGAUGUGACCAGCAGCUGCAAAUCUCAAGAAGAUAUAUGGUGCAUCUUUUGCAAAGAUCAGCAAACCCCUGGGGAAAACCCCUUUGAAGAGAGGAUGGCUACAGGAGGACUAAAAGAAGGCUUGAGGAGAGCUUCAAAGGAGCUUUUCUUUUCCACUGUAACAGUACUUCUGAAGUAAUUAAGUUAUGUACUAGCAGAAAAAUAGGCAUAGGCUGUGAAAAUUGCUUAUUGUCCUGUUUGUAUCUGCCUUUUUUCUAUCUUUGGCACCUUUCUUAUACCUUUUCUUUAUCGAAUAUGUUUAUUUCUUUUUUCCUGAGGUUGCAAACGCUGUGUCACAGACUGGUCUCUUUAUAGUUGUAUGCUGCAAAUUUAAUAUGAUUUGAAUGAUACUCUAGAGGUCAGUUCAAACACAUUUGAGAUAAAAGCUGUCAAAAGUUGUUUUCUUGUCUUCCUAAAAUUCAACCUUCUGGAAUAUUGAUUUGAAUACAAUUAUUCUUGAGUACAUUUGUCACAGAAGAAUUUGCUUUUCUUUUUCUUAACUAGUACCUCCUGGUAAAUGGUGCAUGUGUAACUGAUCAGUCACGAUUUUCCA
Molecule: long non-coding RNA, 785 nt
Organism: Parus major (Great Tit)
Lineage: Eukaryota; Metazoa; Chordata; Aves; Passeriformes; Paridae
Exons: 3
Source: RefSeq, a predicted model, not a curated record